AUGAACGCUGGCGGCGUGCCUAAUACAUGCAAGUCGAGCGAACGGACGAGAAGCUUGCUUUUCUGAUGUUAGCGGCGGACGGGUGAGUAACACGUGGAUAACCUACCUAUAAGACUGGGAUAACUUCGGGAAACCGGAGCUAAUACCGGAUAAUAUUUUGAACCGCAUGGUUCAAAAGUGAAAGACGGUCUUGCUGUCACUUAUAGAUGGAUCCGCGCUGCAUUAGCUAGUUGGUAAGGUAACGGCUUACCAAGGCAACGAUGCAUAGCCGACCUGAGAGGGUGAUCGGCCACACUGGAACUGAGACACGGUCCAGACUCCUACGGGAGGCAGCAGUAGGGAAUCUUCCGCAAUGGGCGAAAGCCUGACGGAGCAACGCCGCGUGAAUGAUGAAGGUCUUCGGAUCGUAAAACUCUGUUAUUAGGGAAGAACAUAUGUGUAAGUAACUGUGCACAUCUUGACGGUACCUAAUCAGAAAGCCACGGCUAACUACGUG
Molecule: ribosomal RNA, 496 nt
Filed under: uncultured bacterium
Lineage: Bacteria
Description: partial 16S ribosomal RNA
Rfam family: Bacterial small subunit ribosomal RNA
Source: RNAcentral